AUGGUGUCCUUGUCUGCUCCCGCAGUGAUCCGAUUGAGGCGAGGAGUCCCUCCAGGAAAUCCCGGGGGUACCCUAGGGAGUCCUGUUCUCAGCGGGUCCUGCAGCCGAGCAGAAUAGGUCCCAUCUGGGUCACCAAAAUGAUGCCGUGAAAAGCCAAAAUCAGGACUCAAUAGUCAGGAUGACUAUUAAGUAGGUAUACUUUAUUGCAGCGCUGGG
This is a long non-coding RNA of Aquila chrysaetos chrysaetos, 216 nucleotides long. RefSeq lists it as uncharacterized. The record is from RefSeq and is a predicted model, not a curated record. Lineage: Eukaryota; Metazoa; Chordata; Aves; Accipitriformes; Accipitridae. The transcript is spliced from 4 exons.